Molecule: long non-coding RNA, 164 nt
Organism: Gigantopelta aegis
Lineage: Eukaryota; Metazoa; Mollusca; Gastropoda; Neomphalida; Peltospiridae
Exons: 2
Source: RefSeq, a predicted model, not a curated record
CCGAAAAACUUCUCAGAAUUGCUACAAUCAUUGGCUAGUCCCUAUAACCUUUGUAAAAGGAUAGAUUCAUGAUUACAGGUAAAAAGAAAAAUAUACAAAACAUUUCUUAUUUAAAAAGUCAUCAGUAGUUACAUGUUACAUAGAUUCAUGAUUGCAGGUAAAAA